This is a long non-coding RNA of Daphnia pulicaria, 305 nucleotides long. RefSeq lists it as uncharacterized. The record is from RefSeq and is a predicted model, not a curated record. NCBI's taxonomy places the organism in Eukaryota, Metazoa, Arthropoda, Branchiopoda, Diplostraca, Daphniidae. The transcript has 2 exons.
CUUACCUCGGUUCUUUGUUAACCAAGACAAGAGGCACCAAUACUGCCGCUCGUUUCAGGAGUCCUACUUUAUCUUCAUCUAUUACUCCUCGAGUAGUAUAGGCCGGUCGUGCCCUAUGUAACAUUUGUAAAUAUCAGAACGGACGGACUAAUUUUGCUGUUGUUGUUUUGUCGUCUGAAAAAGUGAUGUCCUGAAGACUCUACUAGCUAGUAAUACGGUUGCAUCUCCACAAAUCACAAAUUCACAAUCACGCAUAAAUUCAUUGGAUUUGUCAAUCAAUGGAUCAAUAAAUUUUAUUAACAGUU